GAUAUAUUUAUUAUGACAAUGUAGUAUACUACAUGUGAUACUGAAAUAGGCAGUUCCAUGUUAAAAGAAAGUAUGUUUUCACAUGUAUACUCUGAGAGCUACAAGCAAGCAGUAACAAUGAGGAGGAUCAGAAUAGCAUGCGCCAGUAAUUGCCAACCAUUGAGAUAAAUGUUGGCGAUUCAGAAUACCAACAAAAAUUCUUUCCAAUAAUUUCAAAGGAUAUCGGAAGUCUUUUGAAUGUUGGAAGCUGCUUCUACACAAUAGCAGUAAAAAAAGGACACUAUAUUGCCGAAGCAUCAGUUUUUUUGCAGAUACGGAUCAUGGAGCAGGAUUAACAGCUGAUAUGGGUCUAGUCACAUACUACAAAAUUAUGAUAAUUCAUCUCCUUCACAUGAAUUCAAAUUUCUUAGAAUAAACAUAAAAUUCAGAGUAUAAUUUUUUGUUGUUGGUUCGUCUAAAACAUAUUUUGCCAACACCCA
Molecule: unclassified non-coding RNA, 479 nt
Filed under: Athalia rosae (coleseed sawfly)
Lineage: Eukaryota; Metazoa; Arthropoda; Insecta; Hymenoptera; Athaliidae
Description: misc RNA ENSAEAG00005009866.1
Source: RNAcentral